UUUUAUAAAUCAUAUAUAUGAAAGGAGGUUAACUCUCUCCCACAACUUGACACAUCAGCACAUAAGAGCUUGCCACCUAGACUUCAUAAAAUAAGUAAUACAGAAUUAGUAAUUAAUUCAACAUAACAACUAAAAUAGGAGGAUAUAAUUAAUCAGAACUUGAACCAUCACUCUUUCUACAUUUUUUUAAUUCAAUAUAUCCUCUUUAAUUUUAAGAUCCACUUAAGUGGCUAAAGUGAUCAUAAAAUCCAAACAUGCUAUACAUAUUCUUUGCCUAAAAAUUAGACGAUUAUUAUGUAAGAAACUAAAUAAAUAUGCAGAUUAAAUAUAUCUAAGCUUUUCGAGAUUUAUACUAAGAAAACAAGUAAUUUGAAAGAUGUUUGAGGAGUUAUCCUUAUAACUAAUACGUAAGAUAUAAGAUUAUGACAAGAACUUACUAAACUUUCCAAGAACAUCAAAUUGAAUAUGAUUAGAUUGAAUAUGCAUAUACAUGGUUAAUAAAGACAUGUUAUAUAUUUAGUGUAAGAAAUAAAUUGUAUAAAAUUUCACCGUCUCACAAUCUAAACAUAUAACCAAAAAAACAAGAAUAUAU
RNAcentral lists this small RNA (592 nucleotides) under Arabidopsis thaliana (thale cress). Its description in RNAcentral is "ATSL296650". The record is from RNAcentral. Lineage: Eukaryota; Viridiplantae; Streptophyta; Magnoliopsida; Brassicales; Brassicaceae.